This 212-nucleotide ribosomal RNA is filed under the name Alexandrium margalefii. RNAcentral's name for it is "partial Bacterial large subunit ribosomal RNA". It matches the Rfam family "Bacterial large subunit ribosomal RNA", at positions 477 to 692 of the family's 2925-position model. The record is from RNAcentral. Lineage: Eukaryota; Dinophyceae; Gonyaulacales; Pyrocystaceae.
UCGAUGACCGAUAGUGAACCAGUACCGUGAGGGAAAGGUGAAAAGCACCCCGAUGAGGGGAGUGAAAGAGACCUGAAACCGGACGCCUACAAGCAGUGGGAGCCUCUUUACGGGGUGACCGCGUACCUUUUGUAUAAUGGGUCAGCGACUUAAUUUGUCGAGCAAGCUUAAACCGGUAGGUGUAGGCGCAGCGAAAGCGAGUCUGAAUAGGG